This 253-nucleotide ribosomal RNA is filed under the name uncultured bacterium. RNAcentral's name for it is "partial 16S ribosomal RNA". It matches the Rfam family "Bacterial small subunit ribosomal RNA", at positions 524 to 776 of the family's 1533-position model. The record is from RNAcentral.
GACAGAGGGUGCAAACGUUGUUCGGAAUUACUGGGCGUAAAGCGAGUGUAGGCGGUUUCCUAAGUCAGGUGUGAAAGCCCCGGGCUCAACCCGGGAAGUGCACUUGAAACUGGGAGGCUAGAGUAUCGGAGAGGUUGGUGGAAUUCUCGGUGUAGAGGUGAAAUUCGUAGAUAUCGAGAGGAACACCGGUGGCGAAGGCGGCCAACUGGACGAAUACUGACGCUGAGACGCGAAAGCGUGGGGAGCAAACAGG